GAGUUUGAUCCUGGCUCAGAAUGAACGCUGGCGGCGUGCCUAACACAUGCAAGUCGCACGAGAACGUUUCAGCUUGCUGGAACUAGUAAAGUGGCGCACGGGUGAGUAACGCGUGGGUAAUCUACCUCCGAAUUGGGGAUAACAUUGCGAGAGCGGUGCUAAUACCGAAUAAUAUCUCAAUAACAUCGGUUUUUGAGAUCAAAGGUGGCCUCUCCACGGAAGCUUCUGUUUGGAGAUGAGCCCGCGUACCAUUAGCUUGUUGGUAGGGUAAUGGCCUACCAAGGCGACGAUGGUUAGCUGGUCUGAGAGGAUGAUCAGCCACACUGGAACUGACACACGGUCCAGACUCCUACGGGAGGCAGCAGUGAGGAAUUUUGCGCAAUGGGGGAAACCCUGACGCAGCAACGCCGCGUGAGUGAUGAAGGCUUUCGGGUCGUAAAGCUCUGUCAAGUGGGAAGAACCUGCCUUUUGCUAAUAUCAAUCGGCACUGACGGCACCACUGAAGGAAGCACCGGCUAACUCCGUGCCAGCAGCCGCGGUAAUACGGGGGGUGCAAGCGUUAUUCGGAAUCACUGGGCGUAAAGAGCGCGUAGCGGUUUCUUAAGUC
This 607-nucleotide ribosomal RNA is filed under the name uncultured Desulfobacteraceae bacterium. RNAcentral describes it as "bacterial SSU rRNA". It matches the Rfam family "Bacterial small subunit ribosomal RNA", at positions 9 to 589 of the family's 1533-position model. The record is from RNAcentral. Lineage: Bacteria; Pseudomonadati; Thermodesulfobacteriota; Desulfobacteria; Desulfobacterales; Desulfobacteraceae.